GAUGAACGCUGGCGGCGUGCCUAAUACAUGCAAGUCGAGCGAACGGACGAGAAGCUUGCUUUUCUGAUGUUAGCGGCGGACGGGUGAGUAACACGUGGAUAACCUACCUAUAAGACUGGGAUAACUUCGGGAAACCGGAGCUAAUACCGGAUAAUAUUUUGAACCGCAUGGUUCAAAAGUGAAAGACGGUCUUGCUGUCACUUAUAGAUGGAUCCGCGCUGCAUUAGCUAGUUGGUAAGGUAACGGCUUACCAAGGCAACGAUGCAUAGCCGACCUGAGAGGGUGAUCGGCCACACUGGAACUGAGACACGGUCCAGACUCCUACGGGAGGCAGCAGUAGGGAAUCUUCCGCAAUGGGCGAAAGCCUGACGGAGCAACACCGCGUGAGUGAUGAAGGUCUUCGGAUCGUAAAACUCUGUUAUUAGGGAAGAACAUAUGUGUAAGUAACUGUGCACAUCUUGACGGUACCUAAUCAGAGAGCCACGGCUAACUACGUGCCAGCAGCCGCGGUAAUACGUAGGUGGCAAGCGUUAUCCGGAAUUAUUGGGCGUAAAGCGCGCGUAGGCGGUUUUUUAGUCUGAUGUGAAAGCCCACGGCUCAACCGUGGAGGGUCAUUGGAAACUGGAAAACUUGAGUGCAGAAGAGGAAAGUGGAAUUCCAUGUGUAGCGGUGAAAUGCGCAGAGAUGUGGAGGAACACCAGUGGCGAAGGCGACUUUCUGGUCUGUAACUGACGCUGAUGUGCGAAAGCGUGGGGAUCAAACAGGAUUAGAUACCCUGGUAGUCCACGCCGUAAACGAUGAGUGCUAAGUGUUAGGGGGUUUCCGCCCCUUAGUGCUGCAGCUAACGCAUUAAGCACUCCGCCUGGGGAGUACGACCGCAAGGUUGAAACUCAAAGGAAUUGACGGGGGCCCGCACAAGCGGUGGAGCAUGUGGUUUAAUUCGAAGCAACGCGAAGAACCUUACCAAAUCUUGACAUCCUUUGACAACUCUAGAGAUAGAGCCUUCCCCUUCGGGGGACAAAGUGACAGGUGGUGCAUGGUUGUCGUCAGCUCGUGUCGUGAGAUGUUGGGUUAAGUCCCGCAACGAGCGCAACCCUUAAGCUUAGUUGCCAUCAUUAAGUUGGGCACUCUAAGUUGACUGCCGGUGACAAACCGGAGGAAGGUGGGGAUGACGUCAAAUCAUCAUGCCCCUUAUGAUUUGGGCUACACACGUGCUACAAUGGACAAUACAAAGGGCAGCGAAACCGCGAGGUCAAGCAAAUCCCAUAAAGUUGUUCUCAGUUCGGAUCGUAGUCUGCAACUCGACUACAUGAAGCUGGAAUCGCUAGUAAUCGUAGAUCAGCAUGCUACGGUGAAUACGUUCCCGGGUCU
RNAcentral lists this ribosomal RNA (1371 nucleotides) under uncultured bacterium. Its description in RNAcentral is "bacterial SSU rRNA". It matches the Rfam family "Bacterial small subunit ribosomal RNA", at positions 28 to 1381 of the family's 1533-position model. The record is from RNAcentral.